Molecule: ribosomal RNA, 549 nt
Filed under: uncultured bacterium
Lineage: Bacteria
Description: bacterial SSU rRNA
Rfam family: Bacterial small subunit ribosomal RNA
Source: RNAcentral
UGGGGAAUUUUGGACAAUGGGCGCAAGCCUGAUCCAGCCAUGCCGCGUGUCUGAAGAAGGCCUUCGGGUUGUAAAGGACUUUUGUCAGGGAAGAAAAGGACAGGGUUAAUACCCCUGUCUGAUGACGGUACCUGAAGAAUAAGCACCGGCUAACUACGUGCCAGCAGCCGCGGUAAUACGUAGGGUGCGAGCGUUAAUCGGAAUUACUGGGCGUAAAGCGAGCGCAGACGGUUACUUAAGCAGGAUGUGAAAUCCCCGGGCUCAACCUGGGAACUGCGUUCUGAACUGGGUGACUAGAGUGUGUCAGAGGGAGGUAGAAUUCCACGUGUAGCAGUGAAAUGCGUAGAGAUGUGGAGGAAUACCGAUGGCGAAGGCAGCCUCCUGGGAUAACACUGACGUUCAUGCUCGAAAGCGUGGGUAGCAAACAGGAUUAGAUACCCUGGUAGUCCACGCCCUAAACGAUGUCAAUUAGCUGUUGGGCAACUUGAUUGCUUAGUAGCGUAGCUAACGCGUGAAAUUGACCGCCUGGGGAGUACGGUCGCAAGAUUA